UAAACCGGGAUUAGAUACCCCGUUAUACGAGGAAAUAUACUAAGGGGGGUAGUACCGGUUACGGCCCCCAAACCCAAAGAACUUGGCGGCAACUCACCCUUCUAGAGGAGCCUGCCCCGUAACCGACACCACCCGUUAACUUCGACCUCCAGUAUGUCUGUAUACCGCCGUCUAACCCCUAGCUACAAAGGUGGGGUGUAAAGGUUUCCAUCAAAGACAGGUCGAGGUGCAGCGGAUCUGGAGGAGGAGGUGGGCUACAAUCCUUAUGGGGCAGACCCUCCUCUACCGGGGAGGGAUAAGAUGGAUUUAGCAGUACCCGAGGGUUAACACCCUUUGGAGAAUUGGACCUGGGUUGUGUACAUAUCGCCCGUCACUCUCAACAAACUUGAGAU
This 392-nucleotide ribosomal RNA is filed under the name Excirolana mayana. Its description in RNAcentral is "partial 12S ribosomal RNA". It matches the Rfam family "Bacterial small subunit ribosomal RNA", at positions 768 to 1418 of the family's 1533-position model. The record is from RNAcentral. Lineage: Eukaryota; Metazoa; Arthropoda; Malacostraca; Isopoda; Cirolanidae.